GGAGCUGUGUCUGAAUUAAAGAACCACUUUGAUAGAGUGGGACAUGUGGGUUAAAACCCCUCCGACUCCU
This 70-nucleotide transfer RNA is filed under the name Cynoglossus zanzibarensis (Zanzibar tonguesole). RNAcentral's name for it is "tRNA-Ile". It matches the Rfam family "tRNA". From Rfam's summary of the family: Transfer RNA (tRNA) molecules are approximately 80 nucleotides in length. The record is from RNAcentral. Lineage: Eukaryota; Metazoa; Chordata; Actinopteri; Pleuronectiformes; Cynoglossidae.